GUGGGGAAUAUUGGACAAUGGGCGAAAGCCUGAUCCAGCCAUGCCGCGUGUGUGAAGAAGGUCUUCGGAUUGUAAAGCACUUUAAGUUGGGAGGAAGGGCAGUAAGUUAAUACCUUGCUGUUUUGACGUUACCGACAGAAUAAGCACCGGCUAACUUCGUGCCAACAGCCGCGGUAAUACGAAGGGUGCAAGCGUUAAUCGGAAUUACUGGGCGUAAAGCGCGCGUAGGUGGUUCAGCAAGUUGAAGGUGAAAUCCCCGGGCUCAACCUGGGAACUGCCUCCAAAACUACUGAGCUAGAGUACGGUAGAGGGUAGUGGAAUUUCCUGUGUAGCGGUGAAAUGCGUAGAUAUAGGAAGGAACACCAGUGGCGAAGGCGACUACCUGGACUGAUACUGACACUGAGGUGCGAAAGCGUGGGGAGCAAACAGGAUUAGAUACCCUAGUAGUCC
RNAcentral lists this ribosomal RNA (450 nucleotides) under uncultured bacterium. RNAcentral describes it as "partial 16S ribosomal RNA". It matches the Rfam family "Bacterial small subunit ribosomal RNA", at positions 354 to 796 of the family's 1533-position model. The record is from RNAcentral.